RNAcentral lists this ribosomal RNA (505 nucleotides) under uncultured bacterium. RNAcentral's name for it is "partial 16S ribosomal RNA". It matches the Rfam family "Bacterial small subunit ribosomal RNA", at positions 28 to 507 of the family's 1533-position model. The record is from RNAcentral.
GAUGAACGCUGGCGGCGUGCCUAACACAUGCAAGUCGAACGAAGCUUGACGGAUGAUUUCCUCUGAAUGAUACCAGAUGUCGGUUGGUUGCGGACUGGUUAGUAACCCGUUAGCAACCUGCCUUUCAGGGGGGGAUAACGGCGGUAAACGGUCAUAAAUCCCGCAUGAUGUGUCAGGAGGGCAUCAGCUGUUCAUCGAAGCUUUAUCGCGGAAACGUGGUCUCUCGUCUGAUGAGUAAGUUGGCGGGGUAACGGCAUACCAAGUCUACGAUGAGUGGCUGACAUGAGAGGGUGAACGGGCAGAAUGGAACGGAGGCACGGUCAAGACUCGUACGGGAGGCAGCAGUGGGGAAUACUGGACAAAGGGGUGAAGAAUAAUGCAGCAAGGCGGCGUGCGUGAUGCAGGACCUCGGCGUGUAGAAUGCUGUUUUUCGGAAAGAAAACUUGUUUACUUAGAGACGAAGGUAGUGACGGUACCUAAAGAAUAAGCAUCGGCUAACUACGUG